UGCCCUAGUAACGGCGAGUGAAGCGGCAAGAGCUCAAAUUUGAAAGCUGGCUCCUUCGGGGUCCGCAUUGUAAUUUGCAGAGGAUGCUUCGGAAUCGGCCCCCAUCUAAGUGCCCUGGAACGGGCCGUCAUAGAGGGUGAGAAUCCCGUCUGGGAUGGGGUGUCCGUGCCCGUGUGAAGCUCCUUCGACGAGUCGAGUUGUUUGGGAAUGCAGCUCUAUUGGGUGGUAAAUUUCAUCUAAAGCUAAAUAUUGGCCGGAGACCGAUAGCGCACAAGUAGAGUGAUCGAAAGAUGAAAAGCACUUUGAAAAGAGAGUUAAAAAGCACGUGAAAUUGUUGAAAGGGAAGCGCUUGCGACCAGACUCGCCCGCGGGGUUCAGCCGGCAUUCGUGCCGGUGUACUUCCCCGCGGGCGGGCCAGCGUCGGUUUGGGCGGCCGGUCAAAGGCCCCUGGAAUGUAACGCCUCUCGGGGCGUCUUAUAGCCAGGGGUGCCAUGCGGCCUGCCCGGACCGAGGAACGCGCUUCGGCUCGGACGCUGGCAUAAUGGUCGUAAGCGAC
This 556-nucleotide ribosomal RNA is filed under the name Penicillium steckii. RNAcentral's name for it is "eukaryotic LSU rRNA". It matches the Rfam family "Eukaryotic large subunit ribosomal RNA", at positions 76 to 648 of the family's 3401-position model. The record is from RNAcentral. Lineage: Eukaryota; Fungi; Ascomycota; Eurotiomycetes; Eurotiales; Aspergillaceae.